UGAGGGCGCCACGGCACUUCAUGGUCGUGUGGGUAAUUUUCCACGGUUCUUCAGUCUCCACUGUUGUGUCUGCGGUGAAAGCAACAUGAAAACAACGCGCACAUUCCAGAGCUUCACGCUCGAGCCCACCGCAUGAAAGAGGCACAGGCCGCCGGCAGCUGCCCUGGAGCUGCGCAGAGGCGGGACUGGGCGCAAGGGGUCAAGCGCGACCGCGGGCUGCACAAGAGUGUGGGAAAAUGUCACAGAACUAUUUAUAUAAACUACGAGAAACUCAGACAAACGAGGUAAUGAUAUGAUAAUUAAGCUGAAAAUGUAAUUUAUAGUUGUAAAUCUAGGCUUACUGCAGUAAACUCUCCCCUCUCCUCCACCCCUUCUACUCUCCCUCUGUAUAUUCUAUCUUGGACACCUUUGACAGUCCCCCCCCCCCUCUCUCUUUCUCUCUCCCUCUGCUUUUCACACACAUGCACUCCAUUAUCUUGUUGAAUGCGGUCGGUGUUUCGGAGUGUUACCAAGCGGGACAAUGAAAACCGAAAGCAGGCUCGUGCAGUGGAUAUGUUGGCUCAUCGUUAUAACGUCGUUUUUCCUGACCGGGUUUAUAAUAGGCUGGUUUGCAAGGCCCACCAGCACAGACACAAGCCAUGAUGCAGGGUCCAGACGUCACCUGAGAGAGUUUCUGGAUGAGAUGCGACCAGAGAACAUCAGAGAUCAUCUGAGGAAGUUCACCCGGUUACCCCACCUGGCCGGUACAGAGCAGAACCUCAAAUUGGCUGAACAGAUAAAAGGGGAGUGGCUAGCGUAUGGUCUGGACUCAGUAGAGAUGGUACCUUAUGAUGUGCUGCUGUCAUACCCCAACAUAUCACAGCCCAACUACAUCUCUAUAGUAGACCAGCUGGGCAACGAGAUGUUCAACACUUCUCUAUCAGAGCCGGUUCCUGAGGGAUAUGAGAAUGUCUCUGACAUCGUUCCUCCCUACAGCGCCUUCUCAGCGCAGGGACAACCAGUGGGUGACCUGGUUUAUGUGAACUAUGGGCGUACAGAGGACUUCUUCCAGCUGGAGAGAGAGAUGGGGAUCAACGUCACUGGGAAGAUUGUCAUAGUCAGAUAUGGAAAUAUCUUCAGAGGAAACAAGGUGAAGAAUGCGAUGCUUCAUGGGGCGAGUGGUAUAAUCAUGUUCUCGGACCCUGCAGAUUACUGCGCCCCAGGAGUUCAGCCAUACCCCGACGGGUGGAACCUUCCAGGUGGAGGGGCACAGAGGGGUAAUGUCCUCAACCUGAAUGGGGCAGGAGACCCCCUCACGCCAGGGUACCCUGCUAAAGAAUACACUUACAGGUACAACCUGGAGGAAGGGGUGGGGCUUCCUAAAAUUCCAGUGCAUCCUAUUGGCUAUCAUGAUGCCAUCCAACUACUAAAGAAUAUGGGAGGAGACAUCCCACCCAAUAACUGGAAGGGAGCGUUAAACGUGUCCUAUCGGAUUGGACCGGGCUUCACUGACGGCUUCAGUACACAGAAGGUGCGUAUGAACAUCCACACCAACAACCAGGUGACCCGGAUAUACAACGUCAUCGGGAGGUUACGAGGGGCCGUGGAGCCAGACCGCUAUGUGAUCCUGGGGGGCCACCGGGAUGCCUGGGUGUUCGGGGGGAUCGACCCGGUAACGGGAGCAGCCGUGGUGCACGAGAGUGUAAGGAGCGCCGGGAAACUGCUCAGAAAAGGCUGGAGGCCCAGGAGGACCAUAGUAUUUGCCAGUUGGGAUGCAGAGGAGUUUGGACUGCUGGGAUCAACAGAGUGGGCUGAGGAAAACGCCAAAGUGCUGCAGCAGAGAGCAGUGGCUUACAUCAAUGCAGACUCAGCGAUAGAGGGUAUGUACACAUUGAGGAUAGACUGCACUCCCUCUCUCCACACCUUGGUGUACGACAUCACCAAACAGGUGUCCAGUCCAGAGGAGGGAGAGGAGGGGUUGUCUCUGUAUGAGAGCUGGCACAAGCGCGACAACUGGACAGAUGACCGCGAUGCACCCCGGAUCAGUAAGCUGGGUUCAGGCAGUGACUUUGAGGCGUAUUUUAUCCGACUGGGCAUCGCAGCAGGCAGGGCCCGAUACACCAAGAACAGGAAGACAGAGCGGUACAGCAGCUACCCAGUGUAUCACAGUGUGUAUGAGACCUUUGAGUUGGUGGAGAGGUUCUACGACCCUUCCUUCCGGAAGCUCAGAGCCGUAGCUCAGGUCAGGGGAGGCCUCAUCUUCCUAUUGGCUGAUUCACAGCUCCUCCCCCUGGAUGCCAAUCAAUACGCUGGCUCUCUGACAAAGUACGCCCACACCAUCGCUCAGCUGGGACAGAAACACCCAGAUGCUCUUGUGAAAUACGGGGUAUCAUUCGGUAAGAGAAAACACACACACGUUUACAUACAAAGACACUCAUUCUGAAUCCCCCAUCACCUACAAAGUCUAAUUUGUUUUUGUCCAGAUUCUCUGUUCUCUGCGGUGGAGAACUUCACUGUGGCUGCUAGGGACUUCCAUGAGCGUCUCAACACUCUGGACAGGACAGAGUAAGAGCGCGUGUGUGUGUGUGUGUGCUUUCUAGCGUGUCUUCAUAGGUUGUGGAAGUGUGUUAACAGGUGUGUUCCCCCUACUCUCUCAGCCCUAUACAGAUACGUAUGGUCAAUGACCAGCUAAUGUACCUGGAGAGAGCCUUCGUGGACCCGCUAGGUUUACCUGGCCGACCGUUCUACAGACAUGUGAUCUUUGCUCCCAGCAGUCAUAAUA
This is an RNA transcript of Salvelinus namaycush (lake trout), 2761 nucleotides long. It is a transcript of the gene named N-acetylated alpha-linked acidic dipeptidase 2, with no coding region annotated. The transcript has 19 exons. Lineage: Eukaryota; Metazoa; Chordata; Actinopteri; Salmoniformes; Salmonidae. The record is from RefSeq and is a predicted model, not a curated record.